This 145-nucleotide ribosomal RNA is filed under the name Malus domestica (apple). Its description in RNAcentral is "rRNA MD12G0086800". The record is from RNAcentral. Lineage: Eukaryota; Viridiplantae; Streptophyta; Magnoliopsida; Rosales; Rosaceae.
GUCUUAGUCGUCUAAUAGUCUAAACCAAAGAUUGGCCCUUGAGUGCAAAGGUAAAAGAGAGCUUGACUGCAAGACCCACUAUUCGAGAGGGACGAAGGUUGGCCUUAGUGAUCCGGCGGUGCCGAGUGGAAGGGGCGUCACUCAA